CGCCUGCGGUGACCUGCUUUAACUUUAGACAUCUUGGAUGAAAAUUUCGUGUGAAGUCUGAUUCAUUCAUAGAUGUGGCUC
Small nucleolar RNA from Acomys russatus (golden spiny mouse), 81 nucleotides. RefSeq annotates it as small nucleolar RNA SNORD60. The record is from RefSeq and is a predicted model, not a curated record. NCBI's taxonomy places the organism in Eukaryota, Metazoa, Chordata, Mammalia, Rodentia, Muridae. The transcript has a single exon.